RNAcentral lists this ribosomal RNA (254 nucleotides) under uncultured bacterium. Its description in RNAcentral is "partial 16S ribosomal RNA". It matches the Rfam family "Bacterial small subunit ribosomal RNA", at positions 524 to 776 of the family's 1533-position model. The record is from RNAcentral.
AACGUAGGAGGCGAGCGUUAUCCGGAUUUACUGGGCGUAAAGGGCGUGUAGGCGGUGUCAUAAGUCAUGCGUGAAAGCUCCCAGGCUUAACCGGGAGAGGACGUGUGAGACUGUGAGACUAGAGACAGGUAGAGGCAAGUAGAAUUCCAGGUGUAGUGGUGAAAUGCGUAGAUAUCUGGAGGAAUACCCGUGGCGAAGGCGGCUUGCUAGACCUGAUCUGACGCUCAGACGCGACAGCAUGGGGAGCGAACGGG